GGGCCCGCACAAGCAGUGGAGUAUGUGGUUUAAUUCGAAGCAACGCGAAGAACCUUACCAGGGCUUGACAUCCCUCUGACCGUCCUAGAGAUAGGACUUCUCUUCGGAGCAGAGGAGACAGGUGGUGCAUGGUUGUCGUCAGCUCGUGUCGUGAGAUGUUGGGUUAAGUCCCGCAACGAGCGCAACCCCUGUUGUUAGUUGCCAUCAUUAAGUUGGGCACUCUAGCGAGACUGCCGGUGACAAAUCGGAGGAAGGUGGGGACGACGUCAAAUCAUCAUGCCCCUUAUGUCCUGGGCUACACACGUACUACAAUGGCUAUUACAGAGGGAAGCGAAGCCGCGAGGUGGAGCAAAUCUCCAAAAAUAGUCCCAGUUCAGAUUGCAGGCUGAAACUCGCCUGCAUGAAGUCGGAAUUGCUAGUAAUGGCAGGUCAGCAUACUGCCGUGAAUACGUUCCCGGGCCUU
Molecule: ribosomal RNA, 463 nt
Filed under: uncultured bacterium
Lineage: Bacteria
Description: bacterial SSU rRNA
Rfam family: Bacterial small subunit ribosomal RNA
Source: RNAcentral